This 30-nucleotide non-coding RNA is filed under the name Rattus norvegicus (Norway rat). The record is from RNAcentral. Lineage: Eukaryota; Metazoa; Chordata; Mammalia; Rodentia; Muridae.
UUGAAGAAUGAAAGUGGAAGAGAUGUUGGA